Vicugna pacos (alpaca) is the source of this 1379-nucleotide non-coding RNA. The record is from RefSeq and is a predicted model, not a curated record. NCBI's taxonomy places the organism in Eukaryota, Metazoa, Chordata, Mammalia, Artiodactyla, Camelidae.
UCUUCCCUCCCUCCAUAAACAAUUCCACAAUAAAUAUUCUAAUACAUACUCUGUUCUUCACAUUUUGUUGCUUUUAUUUCUAUAUGAGAGAUUCACAAAAUUGUGAUUGCUGGCUUUGGGCUUAUCCUCUAGAUUGUGGUAGCACAUAGACCACUGAGAGAAAAAAAAACUGCAACAUAAAUCUUCUAUAUCCUUCCAAGAUAUUUUUUAUCCAUCACAGUGAAAAGAAAGAUAUUUGAAGCUAUGCAAGAGUUCUGAAAAUAGAUCACCAAGAACCACCUGUAUGUACAGUACUAGAGAAAAGACUCUACAAGACAAAUGAAUCAAGACAUGGACCUCUGAUAGCAGAAGAUGAAGUGGAAAGGAAACGGUGAUAAUUCUCCUACGGUAAUACUCCUAAACAGAUUGUGAUACAUAGAUGCAGUUGAGGUUGGAUAGUAAGGCAUGGAAUUACUAAGCUAAAGAGUAAGCUCACUGAAAAUGACAGAUAAACAUGAAGAUGUACUCUUUGUCCAGUUGGGGAAGAAGCUCUUCAGUUGGCAGCCUGAACAGCCCGAAUGGCCAUUGGGUAAAUCAGCCACCCUAAGGAAGAAGAGAGUCCAGGCACUCAAGUGGGUCAAGCUGUCUGGAGGGGGGUUUUGUGAGUAAUUAUUUAAAAAAAUGAUUUCACAAAUGUUCCUGUGAGAUCCAGAGCCCAGAGAUCCAGGCAUUGUGGUCCCUCAGUGUGUCUGGGCUCUGGAUCUCACAGGAACAGAGGGAAGUGAAGCCCAAAGCCACUGUCACUAUAGUGCAUUUCAUUGAUGUCAAAUUUGUCACACGACCUGGUCUUGUAGUUGAGCCAGUUCAUAUCUUGAACAAAAUGAGGGUGAGCACUUCAGCAGCGAAAAACUUUUCACUACAAAAGGAUGCUGGGAGCCAGGUAGUGCAUGUAACUGUAGUUUGCUCAGGGAGAGUGAAGAGUCAGAAGAGAAAAAGUUCCUGAAUAAGAUUUAAUGCAAACAAGGAAACAAAUAAACAGAACAAAAUAAACCAGGAUUUUAAAAAGAAGCACAGAAAAGAGAAAUUUGUAAAAGAGAUGAAGACCUGGUGGUUGAACCACAGGAAAAGAUCCUGGAGCAGGAGUGUGGAUUUAAGGUGAAAAGAGAAGAGGCAGUUUCAGGAAGGAGGGCGUGGUCAGCAAUGCCAGUGGCUUCCAGGGGAGAUGCACACUGAUUGCCUUUAGCUACAGUGAGGAAUGUCUGAUGACAGAAGUCACAUGUCUUCAUCCGUACUGCAAAGAAGGCUGAGAACACAGAUGCUGGACUUGCAUGAAAGAAAGAAGAUAUGGCAGCAGCAGAAACAGAACUUGCCUGUUUGCAACAGAGACUGUUACUCCAGGA